AGAGGAAGGCUCGUCCGCUCUGGGUUAGUCGGGUCCUAAGCUGAGGCCGACAGGCGUAGGCGAUGGAUAACAGGUUGAUAUUCCUGUACCACCUAUAAUCGUUUUAAUCGAUGGGGGGACGCAGUAGGAUAGGCGAAGCGUGCGAUUGGAUUGCACGUCUAAGCAGUAAGGCUGAGUAUUAGGCAAAUCCGGUACUCAUUAAGGCUGAGCUGUGAUGGGGAGAAGACAUUGUGUCUUCGAGUCGUUGAUUUCACACUGCCGAGAAAAGCCUCUAGAUAGAAAAUAGGUGCCCGUACCGCAAACCGACACAGGUAGUCAAGAUGAGAAUUCUAAGGUGAGCGAGCGAACUCUCGUUAAGGAACUCGGCAAAAUGACCCCGUAACUUCGGGAGAAGGGGUGCUCUUUAGGGUUAACGCCCAGAAGAGCCGCAGUGAAUAGGCCCAAGCGACUGUUUAUCAAAAACACAGGUCUCUGCUAAACCGUAAGGUGAUGUAUAGGGGCUGACGCCUGCCCGGUGCUGGAAGGUUAAGAGGAGUGGUUAGCUUCUGCGAAGCUACGAAUCGAAGCCCCAGUAAACGGCGGCCGUAACUAUAACGGUCCUAAGGUAGCGAAAUUCCUUGUCGGGUAAGUUCCGACCCGCACGAAAGGCGUAACGAUUUGGGCACUGUCUCAACGAGAGACUCGGUGAAAUCAUAGUACCUGUGAAGAUGCAGGUUACCCGCGACAGGACGGAAAGACCCCGUGGAGCUUUACUGUAGCCUGAUAUUGAAAUUCGGCACAGCUUGUACAGGAUAGGUAGGAGCCUUUGAAACGUGAGCGCUAGCUUACGUGGAGGCGCUGGUGGGAUACUACCCUAGCUGUGUUGGCUUUCUAACCCGCACCACUUAUCGUGGUGGGAGACAGUGUCAGGCGGGCAGUUUGACUGGGGCGGUCGCCUCCUAAAAGGUAACGGAGGCGCUCAAAGGUUCCCUCAGAAUGGUUGGAAAUCAUUCAUAGAGUGUAAAGGCAUAAGGGAGCUUGACUGCGAGACCUACAAGUCGAGCAGGGUCGAAAGACGGACUUAGUGAUCCGGUGGUUCCGCAUGGAAGGGCCAUCGCUCAACGGAUAAAAGCUACCCCGGGGAUAACAGGCUUAUCUCCCCCAAGAGUUCACAUCGACGGGGAGGUUUGGCACCUCGAUGUCGGCUCAUCGCAUCCUGGGGCUGUAGUCGGUCCCAAGGGUUGGGCUGUUCGCCCAUUAAAGCGGUACGCGAGCUGGGUUCAGAACGUCGUGAGACAGUUCGGUCCCUAUCCGUCGUGGGCGUAGGAAAUUUGAGAGGAGCUGUCCUUAGUACGAGAGGACCGGGAUGGACAUACCUCUGGUGUACCAGUUGUCGUGCCAACGGCAUAGCUGGGUAGCUAUGUGUGGACGGGAUAAGUGCUGAAAGCAUCUAAGCAUGAAGCCCCCCUCAAGAUGAGAUUUCCCAACUUCGGUUAUAAGAUCCCUCAAAGAUGAUGAGGUUAAUAGGUUCGAGGUGGAAGCAUGGUGACAUGUGGAGCUGACGAAUACUAA
RNAcentral lists this ribosomal RNA (1551 nucleotides) under Staphylococcus aureus. Its description in RNAcentral is "partial 23S ribosomal RNA". It matches the Rfam family "Bacterial large subunit ribosomal RNA", at positions 1356 to 2904 of the family's 2925-position model. The record is from RNAcentral. Lineage: Bacteria; Bacillati; Bacillota; Bacilli; Caryophanales; Staphylococcaceae.